AUACGGAGGGUGCGAGCGUUAAUCGGAAUUACUGGGCGUAAAGGGUGCGUAGGCGGCUUGAUAAGUCGGAUGUGAAAGCCCCGGGCUUAACCUGGGAAUUGCAUUCGAUACUGUCAGGCUAGAGUAUGUCAGAGGUUGGCGGAAUUCCUGGUGUAGCGGUGAAAUGCGUAGAUAUCAGGAGGAACACCAGUGGCGAAGGCGGCUAACUGGGGCAAUACUGACGCUGAGGCACGAAAGCGUGGGGAGCAAACAGGAUUAGAAACCCCAGUAGUAC
This 274-nucleotide ribosomal RNA is filed under the name uncultured bacterium. RNAcentral's name for it is "partial 16S ribosomal RNA". It matches the Rfam family "Bacterial small subunit ribosomal RNA", at positions 523 to 796 of the family's 1533-position model. The record is from RNAcentral.